GCUCAGAACGAACGCUGGCGGCGUGCUUAACACAUGCAAGUCGAACGAGAAAGUUUCCUUCGGGGAACGAGUAAAGUGGCAAACGGGUGAGUAAUACAUGGGUAACCUGCCCUUAAGACCGGGAUAACAUCUUGAAAAGGAUGCUAAAACCGGAUAAGACUACAUGGCUACGGCCUGGUAGUUAAACAAUAGCCUCUACAUGAAAGCUUUUGCUUAAGGAUGGGCCCAUGCGUCAUUAGCUUGUUGGUGGGGUAAUGGCCUACCAAGGCUGCGAUGGCUAGCCGGCCUGAGAGGGUGAUCGGCCACACUGGGAUUGAGAUACGGCCCAAACUCCUACGGGAGGCAGCAGUGGGGAAUUUUGCGCAAUGGGGGAAACCCUGACGCAGCAACGCCGCGUGGAGGAUGAAGCUUUUUGGAGUGUAAACUCCUGUCGGAUGGGAAGAAAUGGCAGUUUGUUAAUAGCUUGCUGUCUUGACGGUACCAUCAGAGGAAGCCCCGGCUAACUCCGUGCCAGCAGCCGCGGUAAUACGGGGGGGGCAAGCGUUGUUCGGAAUCACUGGGCGUAAAGGGCGCGUAGGCGGCCAGAUAAGUCAGGCGUGCAAUCCUAUGGCUUAACCAUAGAACUGCGUCUGAUACUGUUUGGCUUGAGUACAGGAGAGGAAAGUGGAAUUCCAAGUGUAGCGGUGAAAUGCGUAGAUAUUUGGAGGAACACCAGUGGCGAAGGCGGCUUUCUGGACUGAUACUGACGCUAAGGCGCGAAAGCUAGGGGAGCAAACGGGAUUAGAUACCCCGGUAGUCCUAGCUGUAAACGAUGGACACUAGGUGUAGGGGGAACUAAAUCCUCCUGUGCCGUAGCUAACGCAUUAAGUGUCCCGCCUGGGGAGUACGGUCGCAAGACUAAAACUCAAAGGAAUUGACGGGGGCCCGCGCAAGCGGUGGAGCAUGUGGUUUAAUUCGACGCAACGCGAAGAACCUUACCGGGGUUUGAAAUGUACUGGACCGCUAUAGAAAUAUAGUUUCCCUUCGGGGCUGGUACACAGGUGCUGCAUGGCUGUCGUCAGCUCGUGUCGUGAGAUGUUGGGUUAAGUCCCGCAACGAGCGCAACCCCUACCUUUAGUUGCCACCAGGUUAUGCUGAGCACUCUAGAGGAACUGCCGGGAUAAACCGGAGGAAGGUGGGGAUGACGUCAAGUCCUCAUGGCCCUUAUGUCCCGGGCUACACACGUGCUACAAUGGCCGGUACAAAGGGGAGCGAUACCGCGAGGUGGAGCCAAUCCCAAAAGCCGGUCUCAGUCCGAUUGUAGUCUGC
RNAcentral lists this ribosomal RNA (1308 nucleotides) under uncultured bacterium. Its description in RNAcentral is "bacterial SSU rRNA". It matches the Rfam family "Bacterial small subunit ribosomal RNA", at positions 22 to 1308 of the family's 1533-position model. The record is from RNAcentral.